This 74-nucleotide transfer RNA is filed under the name Enterococcus faecalis. RNAcentral's name for it is "tRNA-Ile". It matches the Rfam family "tRNA". Rfam says of the family: Transfer RNA (tRNA) molecules are approximately 80 nucleotides in length. Their secondary structure includes four short double-helical elements and three loops (D, anti-codon, and T loops). Lineage: Bacteria; Bacillati; Bacillota; Bacilli; Lactobacillales; Enterococcaceae. The record is from RNAcentral.
GGACCAUUAGCUCAGUUGGUUAGAGCCAACCGCUCAUAACGGUUAGGUCACAGGUUCGAGUCUUGUAUGGUCCA